RNAcentral lists this long non-coding RNA (1579 nucleotides) under Theobroma cacao (cacao). RNAcentral's name for it is "long non-coding RNA (TCAC_LNC001850)". Lineage: Eukaryota; Viridiplantae; Streptophyta; Magnoliopsida; Malvales; Malvaceae. The record is from RNAcentral.
AAGCUACAGGUUUAGUGCCCAAGAAGUUUGGAGAAGAAAGAAGUAAGAAAAGAAAGGAAAUGAAAAGAAAAUAAGGAAAAGAAAUUGAAAAACUCCAUUUUCAUGGUGGUGAAUGAGAAGAUGCCGUUGGAAGUGUCACAGCCUAAUUUUCGGGCCAUGACCGGAGCAAGGGCCAAAUGGGCUCAGCCCAUUAAGCCCAAGCAAGCCUCUUUAUAGAAUCUUAUACAUUAAUCGAUUCUCUUUUAAAAUUCAAAAUCUGUAGCGUUCAAAUAUAAUUCCAUUGAAAACAAUUCAUACAACCCAACUAUACAUUCAGAAUGGCAUCAUCAACCAUAAUACACAUAUAUAGUUUGACAAAUGAACCUCAUCAUUUCACAACAAGUAUUCAUAUACACUUAAUUAGAACUUGAUUGUCAGCAGAGUGACUCUGGACAUGGUUGCUACCAUUUAAUGUCAUGGUAAACCUACCAAGUAAUGAAUAGGGAGGAACACCUCGUCCUAGGACCCAACCACCUUUGACUCAAGAAACCUAAAACAUGAAUUUUGAAAAUGUGAGUACAAACUCAAUGAGUGAGCAUAAGAAGGGAACAAGCAAUGACAAGGAAUGGUUUAGGAAACAUGAUGCACUUAUUUGAAAACAAUGCCAUUUAGUUCAAGUUCUUAUUAAAAUCCCUCCAUUUAAACCCUUGGUUGUAAAAUCAUUUAAUGAUGAAGGAACCGUAUUCAGCAUGAAAUUAGAAAGAAAGGAAAUUUCCAGCAAUUAACCAAGCAAGGCAGUAUAAACAGAAUAUUUCUCGUUAUUCAUUUCAAUCACAUAUUAUAAUCAUAAACUUUCUAUCAUAUAUACCUAUAUAAACAUAUAUAAACAUGUCCACCAUCCCAAUUUCAUUCAUCGUCAUGUGCACUUCCUACUCGUACAUAGCCCGGUCAUCAUCAUCAGCUCAUGUACACUCCCUACUCGCACAUAGCUGGGUCAUCAUCGGCUUAUGCGCACUCCCUACUCGCACAUAGCCAGGUCAUCAUCAUCACACAACAUUAUUCAUCAAUGCACAACAUAUAUUCAUAUAUAUACAUACCAACAUAAUAUAGGAGCACAUGGAUUCAUCCUUUUGCACAUUUCACAUUUUCACAACAUCAAAACAUUUUAUCAAGGGCUUGUUCCCCAGCACACAUUUUUGAAGAAAAGUUAGAAAAAAUCAUUCAAAUGUUUCAUCCAAAUACAAUUAUAUUUCCCAAAGAAAUUUUGAAAUGCAAGUUUACUCACCUUAUAACAACGAGAUAUUAAGUCGCUAUUUGCUCAGAGGUGUCUUUAACUAUUUUCACUGGCCGGUCGCUCGUUAUUUACUCUGGCAGGCCACCACAGUACUCUAACCUUGCCUUUGCACUUCUUAGCAAUAGUACCAACUCAACAUAUUUAAUUACAUACGUAUAUAGGUAGCACUUUAAUCAAUUAAUCUUUACUUAAAUUUAUAUUUUUCACCCUAUCAUGAAACCAUCUUCAAUUAACUCACAUCUUAAUACAUUUUUACUGAAAUUACUUAUAUCAGUUGUGUACGUAAUUCCUUAUUUUAUAUCUCUG